Molecule: small RNA, 725 nt
Filed under: Drosophila ananassae
Lineage: Eukaryota; Metazoa; Arthropoda; Insecta; Diptera; Drosophilidae
Description: GF27469
Source: RNAcentral
CUUAGCUACUGGAAAGUUCUUGAGCCAUCAUAAUUAUGAAGCUACUCUACUCUUUGGUUGUAUUUUCUGCAUUUUUUGCUUAUUCCUUUGCCUUCCCCCGUCAUGACCCUCCUAGAUUGACCUGUAUGGCAUUAAGUGAACAAUGCAUGGGAAGAGAUGCGUGGAGAAGGUACCAGGAGUCAAUAAGAAUUAAAAAUGAAUAAAUUUUUAUAUUUUUUAUUGAUAUUUUAUGGAAAAUAAAAUUCAUAAGCAAUACAGAGAGACCACAUAGAAGAACCUUCACGUCUCUUAAACAGGACGCCCUAAACUUUGGGUCGUAUAGUAUAAAAGUACAAUGUAUACAAAAUUUGCAUGCUGUAAUUCGAUAGUUGCGUAAGCGUAAAAAAUUAGCUACAAAAAUUUGAUUUAAAAAACUAUAUACGAAAUUUACUAUAAAUAUCACGGCUCGUAAAUAUUAAUGAUUAGUCUAUACUGUUCUUGGCUACUUGAACGUUCUUGAGUUAUUAUAAUUAUGAAGGUGCUCUUCUCUUUGGUUGUAAUUUCUGGAUUCUUGGCUUCUUCUUUUGCUUUCGGCCCUUAUUACCCUCCAGGUCAGUGUUUCGCAAUGACUGAAAAAUGCCUGGGAACAGAUGAGUGGAGAAAGUAUGAGAAGUCACUUAAGAAGGAAUAAAUUUGUAUAUAGUUGAUUGAUACUUUAUGGAAAAUAAAAUUCACAAGCAACAGUA